CUGUCAGGGGAAUGAUGUAUAAUUACCGUGCCCUAAAAAUGUUGGCCUUUCUUGAUUCGGCAUCUGAGAUGGACAUUAAGG
Molecule: non-coding RNA, 81 nt
Organism: Spinacia oleracea (spinach)
Lineage: Eukaryota; Viridiplantae; Streptophyta; Magnoliopsida; Caryophyllales; Amaranthaceae
Source: Rfam